AUGGCAGAAUGCUUCAAUAAGGUGCUCAAGGGUGUACAUGCAUUACCCGUGACGGCAAUAGUUCAAUACACAUUUUACAAGAUGAAUGGAUACUUUUUAAAGUACUCAAUGGAGACGGAUAAGCAGAUUGCUAGUGAGAACAAGGAUAAGUACAAGUACAAUUUCCCACCAAAGGUUGAAGAAUGGUUGGAAUUUCAAUCACAAAAGGCAGACUUCCAAGAAGCACUAUAUGACGACAACGAUUGGAAGUAUGAGGUGAAAGAGCCUGGAGGAACCACAAACGAUGGCCACCAACACGGAGGCCAGGCUUUCAAGGUCUCCCUAACACGGUGUGAUUGCAGCUGCAUGAGGCCAUCGUUGCUUCAUCUCCCAUGCUCGCACUUGUUAAACGCAUCCUGUGUUAGGAAUGUCGAUGUCAAUCAUGAUUGUAAAGAAUACAUGGGCACCACGGUUUCAGCCAUACUUGGACCAAUCACAAUGGCCGGAGUAUCAUGGAGUUCAACUAUGGCCGGACCCGGAAUUGAAGGUCGUUAG
Molecule: ribosomal RNA, 534 nt
Filed under: Triticum aestivum (bread wheat)
Lineage: Eukaryota; Viridiplantae; Streptophyta; Magnoliopsida; Poales; Poaceae
Description: partial small subunit ribosomal RNA
Source: RNAcentral